GGUUCCAUAGAGUAAUGGUUAGCAUGUCUGCUUUACAUGCAGAAAGUCUAGGUUCAAGCCCCAGCGGAGCUA
This 72-nucleotide transfer RNA is filed under the name Pteropus alecto (black flying fox). It matches the Rfam family "tRNA". Rfam says of the family: Transfer RNA (tRNA) molecules are approximately 80 nucleotides in length. Their secondary structure includes four short double-helical elements and three loops (D, anti-codon, and T loops). The record is from Rfam by way of RNAcentral. Lineage: Eukaryota; Metazoa; Chordata; Mammalia; Chiroptera; Pteropodidae.